Non-coding RNA from Pelodiscus sinensis (Chinese soft-shelled turtle), 3402 nucleotides. Lineage: Eukaryota; Metazoa; Chordata; Testudines; Trionychidae. The record is from RefSeq and is a predicted model, not a curated record.
AUAGGGGCUACAUAGCACAAGAUUUUCCUUUACAUUACAAAUCGGAGCAAAGGCAGAUUUCUAGAAUGAGGUUCUGGGUUAGAGCUAACUUUACAACAAAUGCUGUUCAAUUCCAGCAGAAUACACGGGAAGCCACUUAACUGAAAGUCAUGAGAGGAACAGGAGCAGUUCAGAGCAGAGAAAGUAUUGAAAAUCCACCUGAAUAUCGAAGCCCAUUUGCAGCAGCCCAGACUGUACCUGUUCUGUGAAUAAACAGAGGACUUCAAUAUGCACUGCUGUCAAUCUGGCACCUUUCAUGAGCACUAAAUCCACUUCAGAAGAAAAGAACUAAUGAAAACAGAAGGCAAAGCCUUUAAUACUUAAAGGAGACAAUAAGUUCAUGCCAAGAAAGCAGCUUUUCAUCUUUCUCAGUUCUGUCUGCUGCUAGUUCAAGGAAAAAAAUUCUCCUCAAGGUCACAGACACUGAAAACCGAAUAUCAGCAACACUGAAAAUCUUGACACCUUCAACAGUUUAUAAUUUUUUCUUUCUUUUUCCUAAUUUAUCUUUAAAGAUUGAGUGUCCGAUGUUGACAUAAAUCUAGGAGAACUGACCCGUAAAGUAAUUAGAGGAGGAAUUUGCCCUUUCCUCCACCCUCUCAUCUCAAAGCCAGAUCAGAUGAAAGGCAAGCUCUGUUUACUUCCUGAUCUGUCUAAUUUCUGUAACAAGGACCAUCACCAACUUCAUCUUCAUGCAGCUGCUAGAAGUGAAACCCAAGAGGCUGCCCCAGGCACUGCAGCACCUUCUCAAAAUGGUUCGACCUUAAUGGAUUAGUUUCCCCCUGCGCAGGUGGCAAUUUAACAAGAGAAGACCAAACUUUUUACACUUAUGAGACCCCUGGUGAAUGGCAUCAAAUAUCAGAAGAGUGAAGCAGAGCAAAAAGGGUCGGAUCUCCACUGCAAGGAUCAAUCCACUGGCGCUCAAUUGAGAGUCUAAUAAAGACCCAAUAAAUCACCCUCCUAAUCAACUCUGUGGUGUGGACCCCAUGACAAACAACAAUUUACCAUCAAAAUGAAGUUGCCUGUUUGUGAGUCAUGCUGGAAUGGAAGCAAAUGAGUGCAUGCAUAGAGGUGGAACUCAGCAAGAUUCGUUUUACUACAAAUUAAAGCUGAAAUGUUCGAAGGCAAAGUCAUCUGACUGAAUGAUGCUCAGUUAGAGCAAACUUCUGAGUUAUUGUUUAGUAGAAAGGGUGAGUAAUAAAGGAUAUCUGCCAAUAAUAAUACCUUCAGGGCUUGAGAAAAACGGGACUGGCUUUUACAAUCAGAUGCUUUCUCUUGCUUUCUUUUUAAUUCUUCUGAUGGGGAUCAGAUAUUCCUAAUACACAGCUGGUCUCCACAAAUGGCCAAAUGUAAUUUUUUCAUACACCAGCAUGCAAUUCCAGGUGAAAUUAAUUAGUCGGGGUUCUUCAUCAGGUAACAUACUAAUAAAACGGGAUGCAAGUAAUUAAAUAUGCAAAUACAGGGAAGCAAGCACUAAAAUUCAGAUAUGUCAUUUCAGUCCCACAAAAAGGCAUCUGUCAAUUUAGAACUUGAAUGCUCUCUCUCUCUCUUGUACACACACAUACACACACACAAAUCUUUAGAAAAAUAAAAAUGUAAACAAGUCCCAGUUCAGAUUGUAAGAUUAAAGCUGCAAUAAAGGGAGAGAACACAUGCCAAGAACACCCCAUGGGAGAAGAGACAAAGUGCACUAAAAUGCCUGAGUUGUUUAAGAACCAAGUGCUUGGAGGUCUCUCUGUGCUGAAUGAGGAAGUGGGAUAUUUUAGUGGACUCACAGGGAAAAUGUCCAGAACUAUAAGCAGUCUCUGUAGUCUAUUUUGCUCAGUAUUUCUAGAUACCAGAAGGACAAAUUUAACCCUCAUGUAAGUGUUGCACCUGGCUAAAAGGGGGGUGAUUUGUCCUAUAUUCCUUUAUCGGGCUCUGUUCUGUUAUGGUAUGGUAUGAAUAAAAUACUGAUAGGGCUAAAUUCUGCCCUUAAUUAAAGGUAUGGAGGAACCUCAGGUUGCAAAAAUACAACUGAGUGCGUAAUGCGGCAAAAUUGCUAUAACUAAGGUCUAGCUUCCUAUCUUCCCUCCACUGAUUUAAUCAUAGACGAUAUAUCAUUUAUGCAGAUUGUUGAAAUAAACUGUCUCAUAUUUGAGAUAGACCAAUUAUUUUAAAGGCUUAUAAUACUCCACAUACAAUAUGUGCUCCAAAGUCCAUUGUAAAUCGCAGAUGACAAAUCUCCUAAUGUUAAUAUCAUUAACACCAGGUCUAAAUUAAACCUGGAAGGUCAGCUUAAUGUAUGAAACUCCAGCCUACGUAGAAUACUAGACAUGAUAAAUAGAAUGUCAGAACAUUGAUCUCCAGCAAGGUAAGUGAAGUUGUGACCUUAGCCUCAACGCAAAAUAUUGUUUCCUUCAACUCUGAUUUUCUUUAUAAUGGCAUGAAGAUGACACACCAAAUGGUGCCAUAACUUACAUUCCCUGCCAAAUCAUUGUAAUCAUUCUGUCCCAGAUCCUCAAAGGUAUAGAGGGACUUUCCCUGGGGCUUCGUCCAUCAUUGCCUUUAGUGUAACUGAGAUCCAUAUUCACCUCCCAUGGCCUACAAAACCCAUACUGGUGCAAAUAAUGGCACCUCAGAGUGACAGUUUUGGCAGAGGCAGAAGCACAGUACAACUAGCCAACCGCAAAACCCAUUCUGUCAUGGGGAGAGGUGGUAAUAUGUAGUGCAGGUCAGCUUCAAAGGAGGCAGAAUAAGGCUGGCCAGGAGAUGUGCAGAUUCAGUGUAUCUACGGGGGACCUUCCACUGUACAAUCAACAAGCCCUCUCCUGGCCAAACUACACAGAGCAGAGCAGACAGACAGCAUGCGUAUGAAUUUGUGAAUCUGAAUACCAAACCUCAGCUCUAAUUUUAGCUCUCACAGCUCUGACAACAUUCCUUUUUAAUUGCCUGUAUUGUUAUUCGUGUCAGAAUUUCUUAAAUGCAGGAGGGGAAGUGGGAGAAAAAGAGAACAACACCUCAACCCCCUCCGCUCUGUUCAGACAUAGUGGAGAUAAUCAAGGGGCACCUUGAUGAAUAAAACCACUUGAUCACAGUUUUAAUGUGCAGACUGUGUGGAUUUUGACCUCCUUGCCACACCUACAUAGAAAUAUCUGGCUUUCUAGAAUAGUGGGAGAUGUUGCUUUGAAAGAAGGCUAUAUGGAACUUAUGGGCCAGCUCUGAUAAAUGCUCAUUCUUCCCAAAUGUUAAAUAUAUUUGACACGCAUUAUAUGCUCUGCUGAUGCUGAGAAAUCACAAUGUUCUCUGAUAAUAUCAGCCUUCCAGAAUGACAGAAACAAGCCCCUUCCCCAUCCCCCGCAUUAUAAUAAUUUGUUCUCCAUAUUC